CAAUUUGUGUAAAGGUCUGCCUUAUUUCCACUACCUGGAGUCCAAAGCUAGUCAUACUACAACUUAGCUCCAUGUACCAACCAACCACACCGGUCAUACCUUGUGGAAUUCGAUGUUCUCUUCUUAUUUUCCACAUUCAUUUCUGCAUUCAAUAACCAAAGAACAAAACCUUGCAUUCAAUAUUAUAGCCAUAUGUCAUGCCCCGGACCCGAAGUCGGUAAUAAAAACUCGAACCCGAAUCCGAAACGUGAGUUAAAAGCUCAAUAAAUAAAUAAAAAUUUACACGGGUUGGAAAAUAAACUCCUCUUAUUAAAAAUAAUUCAUGAUCAAACAAAUCAAGAAUUCUUUACAACCUAUAGUAAAGAGAUGAAUAAACUUUCUAUUUUUCCAAUCUAAUCUGAUCUCGUCUUGCCUAUUCUCUUGAAUGUCUAGUUCAUAAACGUGCAUAAUAAUAAAGGGAUGAGCUUCAACAGCUCAGUAAGGACACACAGUAAAUUGACAGUAGUAAAUUAAGUAUCAUGAAAUCAUAUAGCCAAAUCUCAAAACAGCAAUUAUAACGAUGCAUGAAUGUCAUGCAACCUCUUCAGUUACCCCCGUUAAUUUAUAAAAUAAAACACGCGAACCUGCACGUCCCAUACCUUGCAUUUUACCCCUGCAGAGGUGGUUCGAAUGUUCUAUUAUAGAAACUAACCCCCAUAUGAUAUCCCAAGUUCAUAAACCCCUUUUGCUAGUCAUCUUAUCUAAUUCAUUGAUCUCCAGCCCAAAUCACCCACAUCAACAAUUCCCGUCAAUAUCCUAUUCUACUGUGCACAUCAGGCUCGCCUGGAACUGGUUUCACAAUGAAUAGAUUCAACUACACAAAAGAUCCUUUCCAACUACCCUCAUUUCCAUACUUCCAAUUUGAACAUUGAAAUUCCAACCACAUCAAUAUGAAUGAUGCACAAAUGAUGUCAUUUUAUCUUUCACAUAUUUCAUAGUAUAUUCUCAACGAAUAGCAUUCCAGCAAUAAUUUCAUAAUCAAUAACAAGUAAACACUUAACUGAAGCAAUUAGCGAAUUAAACUCAAUCAUAUAAAUCAACCAAAAAGAUCAAGAAUAUUAUAGCACUUUACGAAAUUUAAUAAAAUCAAUUUGUGUAAAGAUCUACCUUAUUUCCCCUACAUGGAGUCCAAAGCUAGUCAUACUACAACUUAGCUCCAUGUACCAACCAACCACACCGGUCAUACCUUGUGGAAUUCGAUGUUCUCUUCUUAUUUUCCACAUUCAUUUCUGCAUUCAAUAACCAAAGAACAAAACCAUAAUCCUGAAUUAACAACAGUAAGAGCACUUUAGCCAAACAAAUCUCAAUAGAUAUAUUUAUUAUAGGAAAACUUUCCUUUCUCUUCCUUCCUUAUCGCACAAUCCCAAAAUAUACAGAACCCGAUAUUAUUGGUAUUUGAACCCACCAACGGUACAGUAUACCAUAACAGCCAUAAACCCUAUAUACUUAAAGCUAAAUCUCUUUAUAUGUUAUCAAAAUAAGAAUCUGCUCAAAAACUAAUUUGAAUAACAGUGAGUAAUCUAAGAAUGAGAAGGAUAUAAAAUAUAGGGAUCAAUACCUCCAUACAUAACAUGCUAUUGGUUAACACCACAAGCCUUCUCAGUUUGCAGCUUCUUAUUCCUUUCUCUUAAACAUAUAUAAACUUCUUGCUACUUCUACUCUACUCUCUCUCUCU
This 1714-nucleotide long non-coding RNA is filed under the name Malus domestica (apple). Its description in RNAcentral is "long non-coding RNA (MDOM_LNC014522)". Lineage: Eukaryota; Viridiplantae; Streptophyta; Magnoliopsida; Rosales; Rosaceae. The record is from RNAcentral.